This 75-nucleotide antisense RNA is filed under the name Streptomyces auratus AGR0001. RNAcentral describes it as "ASpks TB sRNA". It matches the Rfam family "ASpks TB sRNA". Lineage: Bacteria; Bacillati; Actinomycetota; Actinomycetes; Kitasatosporales; Streptomycetaceae. The record is from Rfam by way of RNAcentral.
CUUGACCGUACCGAGCCACAGCGGGCGGCCGGCCUCCCGUUCCUGGCCGUAGGUGGCGAGCAGGGCCUGGGCCUC